AGCCAUGCAUGUCUCAGUGCAAGCUAUAUUAAAGUGAAACCGCGAAAGGCUCAUUAAAUCAGUUAUGGUUCCUUGGAUAGUACACAGUUACUUGGAUAACUGUGGUAAUUCUAGAGCUAAUACAUGCAAACAGAGUCCCGACCAUUUAUUUGGAAGGGAUGCUUUUAUUAGAUCAAAACCAAUCAGACCUCACGGUCUGUUGCUCUUGGUGACUCUGAAUAACUUUGGGCUGAUCGCAUGGCCUCGUGCCGGCGACUUAUCUUUCAAAUGUCUGACUUAUCAACUUAAGAUGGUAGGCUCUGCGCCUAUUACGGUUGUAACGGGUAACGGGGAAUCAGGGUUCGAUUCCGGAGAGGGAGCCUGAGAAACGGCUACCACAUCCAAGGAAGGCAGCAGGCGCGCAAAUUACCCACUCCCAGAACGGGGAGGUAGUGACGAAAAAUAACGAUGCAGCACUCAUUCCGAGGCUCUGCAAUCGG
Molecule: ribosomal RNA, 479 nt
Filed under: Lesneia testudinata
Lineage: Eukaryota; Metazoa; Arthropoda; Insecta; Psocodea; Lesneiidae
Description: bacterial SSU rRNA
Rfam family: Eukaryotic small subunit ribosomal RNA
Source: RNAcentral